CCAAGCUUUACCUCACAAGAAAAUGGCUUGCCAAGUUGAAUCCUUGUACAAGAAAAACUUCUUCGAACUUGCUCCAGCAUUGCUUCCACUUUCUCAACCAAUUUUUCGAUUACUUGGUCGGCUUUUCCCAUUUCUUUCUCCUUCUCCCUCUUUCUUUGUAUUCUCGAUCCCCCUCUUAUUUUUCUUCUUUUCCAUUUCUUUUUCUUUAUUUUUCCCUCUUCCUCUCUAAGAGGGUGUUUGAUGGUGAGCCCACCCAAUGUUUGAUGGUGGUAAAAUAUAAAACCGGUGGGUUUUACCCCUUAUUUACUUCCCUCGUUUCACGCCCCAUUUUAAAGGUUUAUUCUUUAGCCUCCUCUCUCUCUUCAGUCACGCAUAAUUAAUCAUCACACACUCUCUCUCCUCUCAUUUUCUCCUUUAUUCCGUCGUUUGGUUUCUCUUCUUUGUCUGAUCUCUUCGUUCUCCAUUCGGCUGGAAUGGGUUGUAUGUCUCUUCAUUUCUCCGAUUAGAAUAUGUUGUAUUUCUCCUCAUCUCUUCGUUCUCUGCGUGUAUUUUUUUUUUUUUUUUUCUCUGUACGUCUCUUCGUUUCUUUGAUUUUGAUUGAGUUUUUGGCUUCUCUAUCUCUAUUCUCCGAUUUCGAACGAUUUUGUUGUAGAUAUAGUGAUAUUUCGGUUUUUUUUAUUUUAUGGUAGAUCUAGGUUUUUUUGUUCAGAUCUACUUUUUUUUCUUUUUUUUUUCUUUUUUUUCUUUUUUUUCUUUUUUUUUUUUUUGGGCAAUUACCUUAUUCUACGCUGACGAUUAGUGUUAAAUCUGCCUUGAUUUCCUCAUACAUUUUUUGUAUUACUUUUUUAUUCCGAUUCCUGUUGUCCAAAGGAAAACCUUUAUAUUUUUUUUAUCUAUUUAUGUGUUAUUAGAACCAUCUAUGUUCUUCCUCAUGUAUGUUUGAUAUUCUUCCUUGAAGAUCUUUGAAGUCCUUCCUUCGUUGUUUGAUUUUCUGGUUUGGGACUAUUUAAUGUUCUAUUUUGCGAUUAUAAUUUCGGACUGUCCAAAUCAAACCUUGAUGAUUUCUAUGUUCCUAUUAUCUACUGUUCUACUUGCUUGAAUGAGUUUUUUUUUAAUCAAUUUAUAUGUUAUUAAAUCCGUCUCUGUUCUUCCUCAUGCAUGUUUGAUACUCUUCCUUGAAGAUGUUUGAUGUUCUUCCUUCGUUAUUUAAUUUUCUGCUUAUGGACUAUUGAAUGUUCUAUUUUGCGAUUCCGAUUUCAGACUGUCCAAAGCAAACCUUGAUGAUUUUUAUCUUCUUACUGUCUAUUGUUCCACUUGCUUGAAUGAGUUCCUUUUUUUUAUCAAUUUAUAUGUUAUUAAAUCCGUCUUUGUUCUUCCACAUGUUUGAUUUUCUUCCUUGCAAACCUCUCUAAUUUUUAUAAUCUUCUUCUUCCUCUUACAACUACUUUCUAUUGUUCUGAUUUGCUUCCUGACUGUUUUUCAUACGCUUUUAUCCAUGUUUUCUCUUGCCGCUUCAAUAUUAAAUCAUGUGUCCUCCCUUGCCAUUUUUUCUUUUGCUUUUCUAUGUAAAUUGGAGGCAAGUUAAUUCCUGGUAGGGGAUGUAGACUGUGUUAUUAGAACUUAGGGGGGUCAAUCCACCCAAGAACAAGUCUGCUUUCUUUUCUUUUUUUUUCUGGAGGUCGAUGAUGAUUUCAAACUGUUUUUCCUUAUCUUUUGAGUAUGAUUUAUGUUUUAGUUUUAUUUCCUUUCAACCUGUUUUCUAAGUGAAUGUAUUUUUUGCUUCAUUCCAUUAAAUUUUUUUCAAUAUUCAUACGAAUUUAAUUUUUGUACAUUUUAAAAUUGACUUCAACUUUGAAAUUGUUGAAACUGUUUAUUUAAUUUGCUUGGAGUUAGAUUUGUUCCAAUCAAAUGGCUUUUUGAAAUCCUAAGGCCUUCAUAUUCACAUGAUAUAUUAUAUUGUAUUUAUGUCAUUUUUUAGUUCAAUCACCAAAUUAAUAGUGACCUGACCAUAAUUAAUUUCUUUAUUUUUUCUUGACUAUCUUUAAUAUGGGUUUACUGUUUGAAUUUACUGAGUUAGGUGCACUUAAGUUUACCUAACCUUCCUCACCAACUCUGUUUAUUGUAUGCUAUACUUAUAUCCCAAUCUGUGUUCAUAUUUUUUGAGAUUUCUCCACAAACUCUUUUCUAAACUAUGUUGGUAAGUCCCUCAACCUUCCUUUUUAUUUCAACUUUCUCUUAAAUCUAUUUUUCAUUCUAGUAUGUGCUAUUUGGCUAUUGCAAUAUACUUUGUUUCCUUCUUCCACCUCUAACCUCAACCUAUUCCAUCAAUAUAAGCUAUGCUUCCUUCUUUUCUUAUAAUCGAAUUAAGAUAUGUCGUUAAUAUUUUCUUGUUUUUGUUACGCCGUCAACCGAUUAUUCUGCCCCCUAGUUGUGGACUGUUUUCACCAUUGCUCAAUCGGAACAUAAAAAAAGGGUCCAAACUAAUCGAACAUAUUUUUCGUAACUAGUAUGAGGAUCUACAUACUUCCCCCAUUGCCCUAGUAAGAUGGAGAUUGUUCAGAAGUUGUUUAAAAUUAUGACAAGUAUUAUUGAGUCUCAAAGACAAUUAUUCUUUAUUUUGGCAACGUUGCUUAACAAUAAUAGAAGGAUAAAACAACAACCAGCGAACGUUAGAUAUUGCAUUCGAUAAUUGACGUUCUUCUUCCUUAUUUACGAGAGUGACUUGGCGUGUCAUGAGAGUACUCGAAUGGAUAGAAGGACGUUCAUGAUUUUAUGCAAAAUGAUUAGAACAACGGGAUGUUUGGAGCCAGGUAGAUGUGUUGGUAUUGAAGAGAUGGUGGCAAUGUUCCUACAUAUUCUUGCGCAUGAUGUGAAGAAUAGAGUUGUACAAACAUAUUUUUCGAGAUCUGGCAAGAUGGUUUUGAGAUAUUUCAAUGCAGUUCUUAGAGCAGUAAUACAGCUACAUACAAUGUUGUUGAAAACUGUCGAACCAAUUACAAGUGCAUGUAUCGAUGGACAAUGAAAAUGGUAAAAGAAUUGUUUGGGGGCAUUGAACGGCACGUACAUGAAAGUGAAUGUCAAUGUCGUAGAUCGACCACAAUAUAGGACGAGGAAGGGGAAAUUGCCACAAACGUUCUUGCGGUGUUUGAUCAAAACGGAGAAUUCAUCUUCGUUAUGCUAGGUUGGGAGGGCUCCUCCGCCGACUCUAGGAUCCUAAGGGAUGCAGUUGCGCGAUCGCAUGGAUUGAAGGUUCCAAAGGGGUUCUACUAUCUGUGCGAUGCUGGCUACCCUAAUGCUGAAGGAUUUUUGGCUCCGUAUAGAGGAGAGCACUACCAUCUCUCAGACUGGCGUGGAGCGGGCAACGCACCAACAACACCAAAAGAAUUUUCAACAUGAAGCAUUUGUCAACAAAAAAUACUAUUGAGCGAGCAUUCGGACUUCUGAAGGGCCGAUGGGCAAUUCUUAGGGGCAAAUCCUACUACCCGAUACAAAUCCAAUGUCGAACGAUAACUACAUGUUGCCUGAUUCACAACUUAAUCACAAGGGAGAAGGGGAUUAGUGCUUCACUUGAUGAUUCAUUGUACGAGAAUCAUGCGUCUACUGUUACGGAGGGAGAGAAUAUUGAAUUUAUUGAGACCUCAAACGAAUGGACCAAAUUUAGAGAUGAUUUGGCUGCCGAAAUAUUUUCUCAAUGGCAAAGAUCGUGAUUUUUUUUUUAUGAAAGAUAUAUCAUCUAUAUGUUGAACAAUAUUCCUAUGCUUCAUUUAUUUCAUGUACAUUUUUAAUUCGACUAUUUCAAUCCAUGGUUUUAGUGUUUUAUUUUAUAACAUGUUGCACAAAGCUGUUUAAUUUUCAGUAAUGUCUUUACGAUGUAUGCAUGGAUGAAUUAGAAUGGCAGGCGAUGGAAAACGAUCAAAACAUAUGUGGACAAAAGUCGAUGACGCUGGGUUGGUCAAUGCCCUAACCUCUUUGGUAGAGUCUGGUUGGAAGUCUAACAAUGGAACCUUUCGACCUAGAUAUCUACAACCUUGGAACGCAUAAUGGAAGAGAAGUUUCCAGGGUGUGGCCUAAACUAGAACACUAUCGAAUGUAAGAUUAGAAGUCUGAAGAAACAAUAUUCGGGGUAACAGAGAUGUUAAAUCAAUUAGGGUUCAGAUGGAACGAGGAGUUUAAGUCCGUUCAGAUGGAGAGGGAGAUAUUCGACUUCUGGGUUCGAAGUCAUCCUAACGCGAAGGGUUUGUGGAACAAGCCAUUCCCCCAUUAUGAUGAAUUAUCGAGUGUGUGUGGGAAGGAUAGGGCAACCGGACACUAUGGCGAGCCACCAGUGGUGAUGGCAUCAAAUUUGUUUCGGGAAAUGGAGGACGAUAUUCGGCUAGGGUCACAAGAAUACCCUACCCCUGAUAAUGAACAAACCCAACUGCCUGAGGAUGCAAUAGAAGAAGACCAAAGAGAUAUGUCUAUGAGGAGAGCAAGUAUACCAAAUAUUUCCACCGACAGUCCGAACAUAUCAGCGAAGACAUCAAGAGGGAGUGAGAGGAAACUACUCACCUUCCAGAAUGAAAUGAUCGAGAUCAUGCAAUCAACCGCUGAUAUUCAGUCAACGCACAUGGGCAUACUCGUUGCGUGGCAAUCCGAGAAAUAUAUGAUGGAAUUUGGGUGUCAGAAGGAGGUAGUUCAGGUCAUAUUUGGUAUUGAAGGACCCACUGAGGAUGAUAGAUGUGACCUAAUUGAUAUCAUUUGCACGGAUAUACAAAAACAGACCUCUUUUUAAUUGUACCAGAAGACAAACGACUACAGUAUUGUACAUGCCUACUUGCUUAGAACCACUAGACUGACCACCU
Benincasa hispida (wax gourd) is the source of this 4841-nucleotide non-coding RNA. Lineage: Eukaryota; Viridiplantae; Streptophyta; Magnoliopsida; Cucurbitales; Cucurbitaceae. The record is from RefSeq and is a predicted model, not a curated record.